This 303-nucleotide ribosomal RNA is filed under the name uncultured bacterium. Its description in RNAcentral is "partial 16S ribosomal RNA". It matches the Rfam family "Bacterial small subunit ribosomal RNA", at positions 507 to 807 of the family's 1533-position model. The record is from RNAcentral.
AGCAGCAGCCACGGUAAUACGUAGGGUGCAAGCGUUAAUCGGAAUUACUGGGCGUAAAGCGUGCGCAGGCGGUUUGUUAAGACAGAUGUGAAAUCCCCGGGCUCAACCUGGGAACUGCAUUUGUGACUGGCAAGCUAGAGUAUGGCAGAGGGGGGUGGAAUUCCGCGUGUAGCAGUGAAAUGCGUAGAUAUGCGGAGGAACACCGAUGGCGAAGGCAGCCCCCUGGGCCAAUACUGACGCUCAUGCACGAAAGCGUGGGGAGCAAACAGGAUUAGAUACCCCGGUAGUCCCUGUCUCUUAUAC